Oryza sativa Japonica Group (Japanese rice) is the source of this 2706-nucleotide non-coding RNA. The record is from RefSeq and is a predicted model, not a curated record. NCBI's taxonomy places the organism in Eukaryota, Viridiplantae, Streptophyta, Magnoliopsida, Poales, Poaceae.
AAAAAAAAGGUAUGGAACAUCAUCAUGUAGAAACUAAAAUUUAAGUUGACUCAAAUUAAGUAGAAAACAUGCUAGAAAGAAGUAUCCCUCCCUCACUGCUGACAAAAGGAAUGAGGGCUUCAAAAGAAUUGAGAGUACAGGUAGCGGUCCUAGCGGAAGAAAGGAAGCAUAUGGAGCAAUGAAUUGGUCUGCCUCUACUACUAUUAGAGGCAAACAACAAUGCUGGGAUGAUUUUUAUAAGCAGGACAUGAACGCUAGAAAGCUAAAUUGACACCCUGGUGCCUCCCGUUUAUAGAUGUCACCAACAAGUAAGAGUGUUCCUCUCGUGUUUAUAUUGGAAUAUUGUUAUUGCUUCUAUCUGUAAAACCUGAAAAAUCUGAAACCAUUCCUAUACUGAAUAAUAGAAGAUAUAAAAUGAAUAUGUGUUGCCAUUGCAUCCUUAUAUUUAUUUCUUCAAUCCACAAUUAACUAUCUAAACCACUUUUUUUUAUUUUAAUUCACAUAAAUUAUUUUCGUUGCUGGUUUUAGUAUGAAUAUUUUGAUAUAUCUCCGUGCAAAAAAGGAUUUUGAUAUAGCUAUAUGCAUGUGCAUUGCCAUUCGAUUCCUUUUCCAAUAUGUAACAGUAGUCAUUGUAAAUAUACUUUCAUAUUGUUUCUCUCUGUUGGGGCAAGAACUCUGAAAAAUGAUAUUUGGGGUGGUUGAUAGGCUCACCAGGUAAAAAGGUACUUCAUACUAUAUAUGUCUAGAUUCAUUGACAUCUAUAUGAAUGCGGGUAAUGCUAAAAAGUCUUAUAAUAUGAAACGGAGGUAGUAGAAACUAUGUAAAGAAAACUUCCUUCAAUUUAGUUUGUAUGGGCAUUAUUAAGUUACCUAAAACAAAUACUAAGAAUUUUGGGUCAAAAGGUAUGUUUUCUCCACAUAAUUUUGAUGUAAGAGUGAUAUGGUUCAACCCAUAACUCUUUAAUUUUGAUAUGGGUGUUCAGUUGCUACUUUUCUUCUUUUUGCGGGAAAUUUAUUUGCAAAGCACUCAAUUUACUGCUCUGCAAUUGCUUCACAGGUAACAUUCAUGCUUUCAAAUCUGUACUGUUCAUUCAUCUAUGAACAUAUAAAUGUGAAUUUUAUACUGCAAAAAUAGCUCACCAUUCAGUUUCAAUAGUUUAUGUUAAUGUUUCCGUAUAACAUUGGAACCAUGCCCCAUGCAUCCUUUUAUUAGCAAUAUUAACUGCUCAGAUCGGGCUGGGGGUGUUAUCUUCAGAGGGAGGAAAGUGUGAGGAAAAAGUUUUCAUGGCAUCAUUAGUUGUUCCCCUAAGAAAAACAUAUGUAUUCACCUGGAUAUUUACAAUUUUUUGUUUAUCAGAAAGUAAAUGAUGAGUAUAACCCUAAUCCUCUCAUUUUAGUCCUCAUUUUAGAUCAGUAUUCCUUAUUGAAUGUAAAACUGAAGUUACACUGAUGCAUGAUCACAGAAUUAUUCUAUGGGAUUGGUUGUUAUUUGUACUACUGAGUACUGACCAUUCUCUCAUGAUAUAUGAACAGAGCAUAUGCUCCUAGCAAGAAAUGUGGCAUGGGUGAGUUUAUAGUCUUGCUUUCACCAUGUAUGAAAUGUGGCAUGUGAGUUUAUACUCUUUCUUUCACCAUGUUGACUUUUUGCACAUUUAUAGAAUCUUUUGGUAUAAUGCUUUGUGUCGAUUCACAUGUUUUAUUAAUUAUUAACGACCAGCUGCAUAGGAAAACUGAGGAUGUACAUGGUUGAAAAGCCUAUAACAUUAUUACUAUGUUCAUUUAUCUACAAUCGUUUGGAUUUAAGAGUUUAAAGGAUAAUUUACUAAGGUGGUUAUCUCUGGUAAUUAGUUUCUUGUCUUCAUCUACUCCUUUUGUACCAGAAAAAAUAAUUUUUGGAUGAUGAUAAUAUACUAAGGCCAACUGCAGAUGUUGUGACUAAUAUUGCACAUCUUCAGUGCAUGCUUAUCUAGGGUGGACACUAUGUUUAUUCCCGACAGUUCUUAAUCACUUAGAAAUAGGGUUAUGAAAUUCAGCAACAUAUGUGAUUUGAUCUGAAAGAAUCAUCAAAGAGUUCAUCUUUGUGUAAGCUUAUAUUAUAAAAGAUUUUAUGCCAACAUUUUAUCUUUCCAACACGUGUCUUGCACGUGCACGAUUACUAGUAUAUAAUCUAACCCUAAGUCAACAGGUCAAACUCCAAAUCCUCUACCCAUCCAGAUCUGCACCAGCCACCAACCACCACCCGAGUCAGUCCGCCGGCUCCGGGAGCCCGGGAGCCACGCGCGCCGCCGUUCGCCAGUCCACCGGGAGCCCGGGAGCCGCGCGCGCCGCCUUUUGCCAGCCACCACCGACGCCGUUCACCAGUCUGCCAGCCACCACGCGCGCCGCCACUCACUGCCUUCUCUCGCCGGGAUACUAAAGCUGUCAUCGCCGGCCGUCGCCAUGGACUGAAGUCGCCGUCGCCGGCCGCCUUUCAUCAAUGCGCCGCCGGGCCGGCGCGGCGCCUGCAGCCAUCUUCACCGGGAGCCGCUAUCUGCCGACCAUGGCUUCGGCCUCCCCCCCCCCCCCAUAAGCUACGACAGCGACGAUGCAAGGAGCAUUUUUGGAGCAUUGUGAUCUAUAAUUUGCUGAUUUGUUGAAUGGAGCAUUUUGGAUAUAUAUGAUAUAAUGUGACUGUGAAUAUGUUGUUUAACCGAGGAUAGGUUCACCA